This 253-nucleotide ribosomal RNA is filed under the name uncultured bacterium. RNAcentral describes it as "partial 16S ribosomal RNA". It matches the Rfam family "Bacterial small subunit ribosomal RNA", at positions 524 to 776 of the family's 1533-position model. The record is from RNAcentral.
UACGUAGGGACCGAGCGUUGUCCGGAUUCAUUGGGCGUAAAGAGCUCGUAGGCGGCUGCUCAAGUCGAAUGUGAAAACUCGAGGCUCAACCUCGAGCCUGCAUUCGAUACUGGGCGGCUAGAGUCUGGUAGGGGGAUCUGGAAUUCCUGGUGUAGCGGUGGAAUGCGCAGAUAUCAGGAGGAACACCGGUGGCGAAGGCGGUUCUCUGGGCCUGUACUGACGCUGAGGAACGAAAGCGUGGGGAGCGAACAGG